This 766-nucleotide ribosomal RNA is filed under the name Calvatia gigantea. RNAcentral describes it as "eukaryotic LSU rRNA". The stretch from base 339 to 492 matches the Rfam family "5.8S ribosomal RNA". The record is from RNAcentral. Lineage: Eukaryota; Fungi; Basidiomycota; Agaricomycetes; Agaricales; Lycoperdaceae.
GGAAGUAAAAGUCGUAACAAGGUUUCCGUAGGUGAACCUGCGGAAGGAUCAUUAUUGAAUAUUCUUGAUGGGUUGUAGCUGGCUCUUCGGGGUAUGUGCACGCCUGUCUUGAUUCUAUUCAUCCACCUGUGCACCUUUUGUAGUCUUGGGGGUUGAGAACAGUCAACUAUCGGAUGGCUAUUGUAGUCUUUCUGGACGUGAGGAUUGCUGAGUGCGAAAGCAUACGGCUUUUCUCAAACUGACUUGUAAACUCUCCUUCGAGUACUAUGUUUUCAUACACCACAUAGUAUGUUGUAGAAUGUGAUCAAUGGGCCUAUGUGCCUAUAACAAUCAUAUACAACUUUCAGCAACGGAUCUCUUGGCUCUCGCAUCGAUGAAGAACGCAGCGAAAUGCGAUAAGUAAUGUGAAUUGCAGAAUUCAGUGAAUCAUCGAAUCUUUGAACGCACCUUGCGCUCCUUGGUAUUCCGAGGAGCAUGCCUGUUUGAGUGUCAUUAAAUUCUCAACCCCUCCAGCUUUUGUAAGCUGUGAUGGGGCUUGGAAGUUGGGAGUUUGCGGGCUUCUAUAGUAGAGGUCGGCUCUCCUUAAAUGCAUUAGCGGAACCGUUUGCAGUCCCGUCACUAGUGUGAUAAUUAUCUACACUGUGAUGAUUGCUCUCUGGCUUGUUCAGCUUCUAAUCGUCCUUUACCGGACAAUGUAUAAUGAACAUCUUGACCUCAAAUCAGGUAGGACUACCCGCUGAACUUAAGCAUAUCAAUAAGCGGAGGA